This 253-nucleotide ribosomal RNA is filed under the name uncultured bacterium. RNAcentral describes it as "partial 16S ribosomal RNA". It matches the Rfam family "Bacterial small subunit ribosomal RNA", at positions 524 to 776 of the family's 1533-position model. The record is from RNAcentral.
UACGAAGGGUGCAAGCGUUACUCGGAAUUACUGGGCGUAAAGCGUGCGUAGGCGGUUUGUUAAGUCUGAUGUGAAAGCCCUGGGCUCAACCUGGGAACUGCAUUGGAAACUGGCUGACUAGAGUGCGGUAGAGGGGUGUGGAAUUCCCGGUGUAGCAGUGAAAUGCGUAGAUAUCGGGAGGAACAUCUGUGGCGAAGGCGACACCCUGGACCAGCACUGACACUGAGGCACGAAAGCGUGGGGAGCAAACAGG